CUACGAAGCUUGGAACACAGCUUUAUUACUUGGGAGACAAACCAAGAUUAUACUUAAAAAAUUAAAAAAUAUUAAAAUAUAUUUGAUUGGAGGAGUCAGACUCUACGGAAAGGAAUAAAAAUGAAUGAUUUCCGUUCCAACCAUUUGAUUGAGAGAGGAAGAGAAUUUUAUUCUCAUCUAAUUUUAAAAAAAUUUGAGAAUUGCAUCGAUUCUCAAAAUCUAAUUCCUAUUUUUUUUUUAAGAUUUGAAUCUUAUUCUAAUUCUGAUUCAGAU
This 273-nucleotide long non-coding RNA is filed under the name Elaeis guineensis (African oil palm). Its description in RNAcentral is "long non-coding RNA (EGUI_LNC024964)". Lineage: Eukaryota; Viridiplantae; Streptophyta; Magnoliopsida; Arecales; Arecaceae. The record is from RNAcentral.